CCCGCUGAACUUAAGCAUAUCAAUAAGCGGAGGAAAAGAAACCAACAGGGAUUACCCUAGUAACGGCGAGUGAAGCGGUAACAGCUCAAAUUUAAAAUCUGGCCUUCACGGGUCCGAGUUGUAAUUUGUAGAGGAUAUUUCGGACAAGGCUGUGGUUUAAGUUUCUUGGAACAGAAUGUCACAGAGGGUGAGAGUCCCGUCUAGAACCAAUGGCUGCGUCCAUGUGAAAUUCCUUCGACGAGUCGAGUUGUUUGGGAAUGCAGCUCAAAAUGGGUGGUAAAUUUCAUCUAAAGCUAAAUAUUGGCCAGAGACCGAUAGCGCACAAGUAGAGUGAUCGAAAGAUGAAAAGUACUUUGAAAAGAGAGUUAAACAGUAUGUGAAAUUGUUGAAAGGGAAGCGCUUGCAACCAGACUUGUGUGUAGCGGCUCCCCUGGUCUUCUGACCAGGCUAUUCUGCUAUAUCCGGGCCAGCAUCGAUUUAGGUGGCCAGUUAAAGGCUCUGGGAAUGUAUCUACCUCCGGGUCGACUUAUAGCCCUGGGUGUAAUGUGGCCUACUUGGAUCGAGGAACGCGCUUUUGCUCGGAUGCUGGCGUAAUGGUUGUAAGCGGCCCGUCUUGAAACACGG
This 624-nucleotide ribosomal RNA is filed under the name uncultured fungus. RNAcentral's name for it is "eukaryotic LSU rRNA". It matches the Rfam family "Eukaryotic large subunit ribosomal RNA", at positions 24 to 664 of the family's 3401-position model. Lineage: Eukaryota; Fungi. The record is from RNAcentral.